Non-coding RNA from Mycena olivaceomarginata, 72 nucleotides. The record is from the annotation of a GenBank genome assembly. Lineage: Eukaryota; Fungi; Basidiomycota; Agaricomycetes; Agaricales; Mycenaceae.
AAGACUUUAGCAUAAAGGUAAUGCAGUUCGCUCAUAAUGGAUACAAUAAGAGUUCAACCCUCUUAGGUCUUA